This is a long non-coding RNA of Diceros bicornis minor, 339 nucleotides long. RefSeq lists it as uncharacterized. The record is from RefSeq and is a predicted model, not a curated record. The transcript is spliced from 3 exons. Lineage: Eukaryota; Metazoa; Chordata; Mammalia; Perissodactyla; Rhinocerotidae.
GUAAUUUGUGGAGGGUGCCGCAGUCUACCGUGGCAGGUCUUCCUUCCAGAAGCCCAAGGCAGGAGAGCUGAGCCAAGAAGGCCCUGGAAUGUCAGUAUAUCUGCGCCUAGAGGAUGUGUCUGGUUACUGCACAGCCACACAGCUGACGACUGGAUCUGCACAGCUGAGAAGAACUGGAUCUUGUCCUCACUCAGCCAGAGGAGGACUCCUUGCCACUUGGAGGAGAUGCUUUGGUGAGAAUCUCUGCCCUGCUGUGUCCUGAGAUCUUAAGAGAUGAUGGGGAUAGAGGGCUCCCUAUGUGGGCCAUGCAUUUGGGCAGGGGCAGGCUUCCUCCAGGGU